Long non-coding RNA from Homo sapiens (human), 2495 nucleotides. The record is from Ensembl. Lineage: Eukaryota; Metazoa; Chordata; Mammalia; Primates; Hominidae.
UGGGAAGUGACAACAAGGAAGUAGAUGGACAUCCACCCUGUAUCCUGUGAUAAGAGAAAAUAAUUAGGCAGUAUUGGGGAGACCUUUAGGAAAGUGAUAGCCUCAGUAAGCCACCUUUCAGUUUAAGGAAAAAGAUGGAGCAAAUUCCCAAAGAAGACAGUGUACACUGGGAAAGUUUGAUGUUUAUGAAUUAGCAAUUGCAGAGGCAGAAUCAACCAUCUCUAUUUUUCCCUUCUCUUUCAUUUCUUCAUUUAUCUGUGCUUACUUAUAGCCAUUCUAUCUAAAACGUGUAAGUGUAAAAGAAUAAUUUCCUCCUAGCUAGGAACUUUAAGGGUGAAAAAUUUAUAUCAAAACAUAAUUUAUUGAUUCUGUAGCUUAUAACUCCUCUUCAUAAAAGAGAUGUACUAAAUGCAAUGAACCAAUCUUAAUUUAGUGAUUUAAAAAAAUCCUACCCUUUUUAAGGUUGUUGGCUAUUUGGUGCAGUCAUUUUCUACCUUAUUUUGACUUUCAUACCCUUAUUUUUUUAUGGUUAAGUUUAGGAUUAUUUUCAUUAUCCAGAAGUCAUAUGCUAUAUUAUGUUACAUAGUCUUAGUUAAGUAACAGAUCUUUGCAUAAUUAAGAUUAAAAUUGAAUAUCAACAAAAUUCCCAGAAUUCAUUUUAUUUUAAUAGUGACAUGAACUUACCUUAACAGUUUUGCUGGCAUGUGAAUACAGUAUAGUGUAGUGCCAUUUUUAAAAAAUGAGCUGCCAUUAUCUAGAAACUUCCUGUAUUGGCACUGUGGAACAUGGUUCUCAAAGUAUGGUUUGUGUCCAUCUGCUAAGAUUUAAAAACUUUUUUGUGAGCAGUUUUUUUUUUUGUAGUUACGUGAUUUUUAUCUCAUAAUAAUUAAUUUGGCUAUAAGAGUCGGUGAACAUUUGAUUACCUUAUCCAAAGAACAUCCUUUUAAUCAAUUGGGUUGAGCUUAGUUUCUGAGGUUUCAGAUGCAGCUGUAUGUGUAUGGGUUUCUUUCUCCUGCGAAAUAGUAUGAGAAAAAUGUUUUAGGAAUGCUAUUAUAAAUAUCAGCUGUUCUUGAAUAAAGGAAAAUAAUCAAAAUGAAUGCUAAACCUAUUCUAUCACAGUUCAUUUCACUAAGCAAGAUUUUAGCCCCUAUAAUAUACCAGACACUGUGGGUUACAGUAGUGAUAUCAGACAUGUUCUUUCCUCUUAGAGCUUACAUUCUAAUGAGAGAGACAAGAAUUAACCAGAUAGUUACACAAAUGAAUGUAUAAUUACAACUGGGACAAGUACUGUGAAAUGAAUACUGUGAGAAUGUAUAAUAGGUGGAUUUAACUUGGUAAGGGUAACUUGGUAACCUCCCUGAGGGAGCUUGAGCUGAGUUUUGAGGCAUAGGUAGGCAUUUUAUAGGUAGGCAUAGGUAGGCAUUUUAUAGGUGACCUGGGGAGGAAGGGGAAUUUCAUGCAGACUGAACAUGUAUCACUUUUUAAUCUCCUCUUCAAUUCUGCAGCUCCUUACUUCAGGCCCUCAGAAUUGUCUUUUACAGUUUACAACACACAUUGUAGCUAUAUGAAGUAUUUUACAGAGGGUAGUCCAUGCUUCCUAAACUAUGUACUGAGGCACCCCAGGAGCACCACAACAAACUCACAGGGGCACUAUCAUGGGAUAUUUUAAAUUUUCAAGGCCAACACAGUGACAUCAGUUGGACACCGUGCAAACCACUAUCUUGAGGUAGUUCAGAACUUCUACACAUUAAAUUGUACUUCAUUCCUUUUGACAUCGUAUCUUUGUGAGGCUGUGUUUUUGUAAAUUGCUGUAAUAAAACACAAGGACUAUGGGAAAAUUACUGUAGAACAGGAAUGAGGGUAGCGGUUUCCAAGUUUAUUCCUAAGUUUGAGAAGUUAUGAAGUGCCCAACAGAUGUGCACAUCCCAUUAAGAAUAAAAAAUGUUAAUGUAUAUUAUUUUUUAAAUAGCUACUAAGUUGUUAGGAUAGACAAACAUAAGUUUGGGUUUAACUGUUUAAUAAAUGGAACUGUUAGGUGUUUCUUUUAGCUUGCAACACCAUGAAAAAAUUACUGAGACACUAGGAAUGCUGUGAACUGAGAAAGUUUGGGACCUUUGGCAUAACUAAAUCCUUCAUUUAACAGAUGGAGUCUCAGUCUGUCACUAAGGCUGGAGUGCAGUGGCGCGAUCUCGGCUCACUGCAACCUCCACCUCCCGGGUUCACGCGAUUCUCCAGCCUCAGCCUUCCACGUAGCUGGGACUACAGGUGCAUGCCACCACACCCAGUGUUGUGAACCACUUGUCAUGGGAUAACCAAAAUUAAACCUGGAAUCGCAGAAGAAACAAAUUUUUUGAAGAAAUUGGAUGUACUUUUUUAAAAUUUUUCAUUCAACUAAAACUUUGUUAACUGUUUCUUGGUUGUGGUCUUCUCUAAAUUGUAAUCUUUGGCAUUCACUUCCAAAGUAUCCACCACUAAACUUCAUAACAUUUAUUGUG